RNAcentral lists this ribosomal RNA (490 nucleotides) under uncultured bacterium. Its description in RNAcentral is "bacterial SSU rRNA". It matches the Rfam family "Bacterial small subunit ribosomal RNA", at positions 775 to 1262 of the family's 1533-position model. The record is from RNAcentral.
AGUCAAUAGAUACCCGGGUAGUCCACGCCGUAAACGAUGAGUACUAGGUGUAGGAGGUAUCGACUCCUUCUGUGCCGCAGUUAAACACAAUAAGUACUCCGCCUGGGAAGUACGGUCGCAAGAUUAAAACUCAAAGGAAUUGACGGGGGCCCGCACAAGCAGCGGAGCAUGUGGUUUAAUUCGAAGCAACGCGAAGAACCUUACCUAGACUUGACAUCUCCUGAAUAGCGCAGAGAUGCGUGAAGCCCUUCGGGGCAGGAAGACAGGUGGUGCAUGGUUGUCGUCAGCUCGUGUCGUGAGAUGUUGGGUUAAAGUCCCGCAACGAGCGCAACCCCUAUUAUUAGUUGCUACCAUUAAGUUGAGCACUCUAAUGAGACUGCCCGGGUUAACCGGGAGGAAGGCGGGGAUGACGUCAAAUCAUCAUGCCCCUUAUGUCUAGGGCUACACACGUGCUACAAUGGUGAGAACAACGAGAUGCAAUACCGCGAGG